UGGGGAAUAUUGCGCAAUGGGCGAAAGCCUGACGCAGCGACGCCGCGUGGGGGAUGACGGCCUUCGGGUUGUAAACCUCUUUCAGCAGGGACGAAGUUGACGUGUACCUGCAGAAGAAGCGCCGGCUAACUACGUGCCAGCAGCCGCGGUAAUACGUAGGGCGCAAGCGUUGUCCGGAAUUAUUGGGCGUAAAGAGCUCGUAGGUGGCUGGUCGCGUCUGCCGUGAAAGCCCGCAGCUUAACUGCGGGUCUGCGGUGGAUACGGGCCGGCUAGAGGUAGGUAGGGGCAAGUGGAAUUCCUGGUGUAGCGGUGAAAUGCGCAGAUAUCAGGAGGAACACCGGUGGCGAAGGCGGCUUGCUGGGCCUUACCUGACGCUGAGGAGCGAAAGCGUGGGGAGCGAACA
This 403-nucleotide ribosomal RNA is filed under the name uncultured Nonomuraea sp. Its description in RNAcentral is "bacterial SSU rRNA". It matches the Rfam family "Bacterial small subunit ribosomal RNA", at positions 355 to 774 of the family's 1533-position model. The record is from RNAcentral. Lineage: Bacteria; Bacillati; Actinomycetota; Actinomycetes; Streptosporangiales; Streptosporangiaceae.